UACGUAGGAGGCAAGCGUUGUCCGGAAUUACUGGGCGUAAAGCGCGUGUAGGUGGUGGGACAAGUCUGCUGUGAAAGCGCCUGGCUUAACCGGGCGAGGUCGGCGGAAACUGUCGCACUCGAGGACGGUAGAGGGGGGUGGAAUUCCCGGUGUAGUGGUGAAAUGCGUAGAGAUCGGGAGGAACACCUGUGGCGAAGGCGGCCCCCUCGGCCGGCCCUGACACUGAGACGCGAAGGCGUGGGGAGCGAACGGG
RNAcentral lists this ribosomal RNA (253 nucleotides) under uncultured bacterium. Its description in RNAcentral is "partial 16S ribosomal RNA". It matches the Rfam family "Bacterial small subunit ribosomal RNA", at positions 524 to 776 of the family's 1533-position model. The record is from RNAcentral.